RNAcentral lists this ribosomal RNA (444 nucleotides) under uncultured bacterium. Its description in RNAcentral is "bacterial SSU rRNA". It matches the Rfam family "Bacterial small subunit ribosomal RNA", at positions 354 to 796 of the family's 1533-position model. The record is from RNAcentral.
GUAGGGAAUAUUGGGCAAUGGACGAGAGUCUGACCCAGCCAUGCCGCGUGCAGGAAGAAGGCGUUCUGCGUUGUAAACUGCUUUUAUCUGGGAAGAAAAGGCCCAUGCGUGGGACAUUGCCGGUACCAGAUGAAUAAGCACCGGCUAACUCCGUGCCAGCAGCCGCGGUAAUACGGAGGGUGCAAGCGUUGUCCGGAUUUAUUGGGUUUAAAGGGUGCGUAGGCGGUUGAUUAAGUCAGCGGUGAAAGUUUUGGGCUCAACCCAGAAAUUGCCAUUGAUACUGGUCGACUUGAGUAUUGCAGGGGUACAUGGAAUUGAUGGUGUAGCGGUGAAAUGCAUAGAUACCAUCAGGAACACCGAUAGCGAAGGCAUUGUACUGGGCAACCACUGACGCUGAUGCACGAAAGCAUGGGGAGCGAACAGGAUUAGAUACCCGAGUAGUCC